Molecule: ribosomal RNA, 274 nt
Filed under: uncultured bacterium
Lineage: Bacteria
Description: partial 16S ribosomal RNA
Rfam family: Bacterial small subunit ribosomal RNA
Source: RNAcentral
AUACGGAGGGUGCAAGCGUUAUUCGGAAUCACUGGGCGUAAAGGACGCGGAGGCGGGUUGGCAAGUCAGAUGUGAAAUCCUACAGCUUAACUGUAGAACUGCAUUUGAAACUGCUAACCUAGAGUAUGGGAGGGGGAGAUGGAAUUAGUGGUGUAGGGGUAAAAUCCGUAGAUAUCACUAGGAAUACCGAAAGCGAAGGCGAUCUCCUGGAACAUAACUGACGCUAAGGCGUGAAAGCGUGGGGAGCAAACAGGAUUAGAUACCCUAGUAGUCC